RNAcentral lists this transfer RNA (74 nucleotides) under Gemmatimonadota bacterium. Its description in RNAcentral is "tRNA-Arg". It matches the Rfam family "tRNA". Rfam says of the family: Transfer RNA (tRNA) molecules are approximately 80 nucleotides in length. The record is from RNAcentral. Lineage: Bacteria; Pseudomonadati; Gemmatimonadota.
GCCCUCGUAGCUCAGGUGGAUAGAGCACCAGAUUCCUAAUCUGGGGGCCGCGCGUUCGAGUCGCGCCGGGGGCA